Molecule: long non-coding RNA, 605 nt
Filed under: Numida meleagris (helmeted guineafowl)
Lineage: Eukaryota; Metazoa; Chordata; Aves; Galliformes; Numididae
Description: lncRNA (ENSNMEG00000021041.1)
Source: RNAcentral
UAGACAGCUUCACAAGCUCGUUCAAGUGCAGCAGUGGCACUUCACUGCAUCCUCAUGGACUCCACUUCAGAGCUGGCCAAGCUGCAUUGAGCCUUUGCAAGAGGCUGCAGACAGGCUGAUCCAGCAUCACACAGAUGAUCGGUUGAGGACUUUCAACAUAGAUCAUCAUAAUCCGUCCAAUGACAGUGAUGCUACUGCCAGCUUGCAUUGGAGAGUUACAAUGAAAGCUCUCCUCAUCUGGCCCUUCACCAGAGGACAAAUAGGAGACAGGAUAAGCACCGCCUCACACCCACAGCUACAACAAUUUCAUGGAAAAGCGAGAGACUGCAUUUUAUGCUUUUUGUUUAUCAGUUUUGCCUAAAAGUUGCAGGCAUGCAAAGUCUGACUGCAGCCUGACUUCCAGAAGUGACUUCUGCAGAUUGUGCUAAAGCUUUGCCUCUCCUGCCCAAGUCAAACAUCUCAGGCUUCUGAAACAAAACACUAAUUACAUGAUCACUUACAAAUGUCUCAUUAACAUAUAUUGAAGCAUAUUUCAAUGUAUAUGUAGUGUGUAUUUUACAUGUGUAUGUAAUGCAUAUAAAGAAAGAGCAGCUGUAGUCUCCUCU